Molecule: long non-coding RNA, 8836 nt
Organism: Culex pipiens pallens (northern house mosquito)
Lineage: Eukaryota; Metazoa; Arthropoda; Insecta; Diptera; Culicidae
Exons: 4
Source: RefSeq, a predicted model, not a curated record
UUUCGUGGGGAAUUGCUGUAUACUAGGGUGCCCAGAAAAAAUGACCCCCUGCUCCACAAGCGGAAAACGGUUUAUUGGGUUAUUUUAAGCAUCUGUGCAAAUUUUGAGCGAAAUUGGUUGAGAUUAACCCAUUGAUAUCCGAGCCUAAAGUUGGUGAAAAAAAUGUUUUUCAUACAAAAAUGACUUUUUUAAAUCGCUAAUAACUUUUCAGGAUCAAGUUUUACAGCUUUGGUAUGUUCUACAAAGUUGUAGAGCAUUAAAUUUCCAAUGAGAAUCUCACUUUUGGGAAUAUUUGGAUGUAAGUAGCGCACCGUGUAGACCAAACCGUAUGAAAAUAGGGUUUUUCAUACAUUUUUUCGAUUUUUCCCAUGCAAACUUCACCCCCGAGUAUCAAAGGGUAAAUGUUAACCGAUUUUGCUCAUAUUUGGCCCAGAGUUCUAAAAUAGCUCAAGGAACAAUAUUCAGCUUGUGGAGCGAGGUUUUGAGAAAAAGUCCCGUAUUCUGGGCACCCUAACUGUAUACCUAUGUCAGGGGUGACCAAAGUAUGGCCCGCGGGCCAAACGUGGCCCGCGAGGUGAUAUUUUGUGGCCCGCGGACCCAUUUUGAAUGAUCAUGUAAAAUGGCCCAUUGACCACUUGUAAAGUGUAUACUUUUUAAAAAUUAAGGUUUAUUUUAAACUUUCAUAUGCUAAUCUUUUUUUUUUGUUAAUAAAAAACUUGUGAUUUAUCAAUAUUAUGAUCCCCACAUUAGGAUACAAAUACUUUGUUCAAAAUAUUUUAUAAUUAAAACAAUUUCACACGUUUCAAUGUGAGUGAAACUAUUAAAUAUCGUCAAAAUUUUCAUCAAACAUUUUUAGAAAUAUUUAAAAAACGUUCAAGUUUGACUAUGUAAUCGUUGCAAAAAUGUAUGUUUUCUUUAUUAAGUUGCAAGUCAUAAUGACACUUUUAUGAACUGACCCUCAAACAUACCUUGCACUUCCUUCGGGAUUCGAACUCAUUACAGUUAGAUAACGAAUCUGAUUGACUACCAACUGAUUCAGGCAGACAAAAUGUGGAAAUCGGAGGAUCAAGUUUGUUGCAAAUAUUUUACAAAGCUUUCGUCGAUCAACCCACCCCUCCAUCAUUAUUGAAAAACUGGCUCAAAAACCAGGAGCAAAAAUAUAUUUUCAAAAAACUUUAAAAAUAAUAAAUUUAAGUGCAAUCAUCUGAAAUUUAUUUUAUAUGCAUUCCUUUGUAUUUAAAAUCAUUUGAGCAUGUUUGGGUUUAUUAAAAAAAAUGAAUUUUAGUGAAUUUUCGAUGAAAUAAAUAAAUGUUUUUUCGCUAAAUUUUUUUUUGUCGAAUCAGUUUUACUAUACGGAAACCUAAAACAUUUUCUAACAUUUUUUUCAUUGAAAUGUUGAAAUUCUGGCUCUCAACGAUUUUUCAUUAGCCAUUCUUAAUUUAUAGAUAAAAUUACACCUUUAGAUGAAUUGUUCAACAUGUAUUGUCACCAUUUUCGAAAUGUAAAAACAAAACAUUGUUUUUUUUUAAAACACAAGUACACUGCCGCUCUAAUCUAGUCCGUCCCAUAUGUAAAAAAUGGAUGCUGAGAUAACGACGUGAGAAGGCAAAAAAAUUUUGCAUCAUUUUUCACAUUUCCAAUCAACAUAUUUUUGCUAAAUUGUUAUACAAUUAUUUCAAUAUUAGUUAAGCAUAGCAUAGGUGCCCACCCGCAGUUGCUAAUCCGUUAUUGACCAGGACCUCCAGAAGUUACAUCCACGAGCCGUGGAAGAUGAGUGGGUGCUAUCUUUCCUCGCUUCGCAACUUCUCAAAGGCCCCUAUCAUGCUGAUCAAUACCGGCGCCGGCCACGACCAGUGGUAGAGUCACGGGGAAGUGGAUGGGAAUGUUAGUCCGAUACUUGAGUGAUAGAGACCGCCCAAUCGACUGCUUCUCCGACAAAGUAUCACAUGAGUUUUGAGGGGGUUAGUAGAUGGGUAUGAGGUCAGGAUUCACGAGUGGCAAUGUUGUGACCAUGAGCAUUUUGUUUAUCAGUUGAAAUUUUAAAUCUUAGGCAGCCGGCUGCGGAAAGAUAAAUAAUUGAUUAUUUAAAAAGUUUGUUUUAAUCGAACGCGUGCCAACCGAGCGGUAGUGCUAUGGGCUGGACUUAUCAGUAUAUUUUUACUGUUGGUACAAUUAAGAUAACGCGAGCAAAUGUCAAAAAUAGUAGAUGAGUUAAUACUAAAGCUGCCAGUUGUAAUAAAUUAUGACUAUCAACGAAUAAAAACGAAAAGAAAACAGGACACCACGUAACCGAUUGUAAUGAAAUUAAAACAAUAACUUAAACUAACGAACUUAACUGGCGGCGUGCCUUCCUAUCAACGAUUAUAAAAGAAGGACUUAUGAAAUUUAAAAUAUAAAAAAGGCUCCGAAAACCACGUUUCAUAAUAACCGCGAAGUCCAGCUACUCACAAUCGAAUCCGAAAGAUAGCUAUCUAGAAUUUUAAAUAUAGUAUUAAUACGACCGCGAUCUUCUAGAAAUUCUUCGUCAGCGUGCCUUCCGAUCAACGGUGAUGUAGGAAGGGCUUUAUUCAUUAAAAUGAUUUUAUAUCAUAAGCCUUAAAACAUAUUCGUCGGCCUGCCUUCCGAUCAUCGAUGAUAUAGAAAGGACUUAAUCCAGCAAUACGACUUGCUUGUCUCGAAAAAAAAAAUGGGAUCGUUUCCAAAACUAUGUGAAGAGAACAAAAAAAAUCUCAUCGGCCAACGAACGCGCGAACUAAAAAUAAAGAAAAAAGAAGAAGAAGAAGACCAAUCACCCCAUGCACACAAACAGCGACACAAAAGAGAUGAAAAUAACACGAAAAAAAGGUCUGCGCGUCCUCAUAGGCACUGCAAUAAUCAAACAGGACACCACGUAAUGAAAUUAAAAGAACUUAACCGGCGGCGUACCUUCUGAUCAACGAUGAUAAAAGGAGGACUUAUGGAAAAUAAAAUAUCAAAUAAAAGGCUCCGAAAAACACGUUGCAGAGUAACCGCGAGGUCCCGCUACUCACAAUCGAAUCAAAAAAAUCUAAAACGCGCGCUAAUGGUCUAUCCUAAAUUUCAGCAUGUCUUUCGAUAAACGAUUCUAUAGAAAUGAGUUUUUCACCUUGAAAAUUUAACACAUUAUUUGAAAAAUAAUUGCACAAUUUAACAUGAAGCACAAAAAAACACCUAUCACUGAAAAAAUGACGCUCGAAACAAGAAUAAUUCUGUAAGGCGUGUGCGCUGCCCCACCAUCCGAAUUCCAGUUACUCGGAUGUAGACAUGCAUUAAACAUAAAUUCAGUCUCACUCUCAAACACACAGGAGCCAUCACAGAUGCUUGAAAUAUUAAAUUCAAAGUUGCAUGUGAAUCGUGGACUUCACGAAAAUUCACUAACAUAAUAUUUUCAUGAUCAAAACUGAAAUAUUGAAAAAAGCUCAACAUCGCUUGUUUUGAAAAUUGUCAAGAAGUUUGAAUAAAAACAUAAUUUACAAAAUAUCAACUAUUGGUUUAAAAUCGGAGACGAAGUACCAAAUUUAAGAUCACUAUAUUUCCUAACAAACAUUUCUCGUUUAAAAUUUCCUAGAAAACAAAUAAAAUAAAAUAAUAUCAGCGAUAACAACUCCCCACUUCAAACUGGGUUGAGUUUCCACUAAUAUAAGAAAAUGGAUAGUUCCAAACAAGCGUGCUAAAUGCAUCAACUCACCCCUCGGCCCUCAGUGAGUGCUUAGAGUGAAUGGCACUCAUGUGCUCUGACAGCUUGUGACCUGACCUCAUCCUUGACUUGUUCAGGUUUGACAAUCGUCGGUCGCUACCUCAUCUUCCCCUAAUCGAGCGGAUUAACAAAUACACGCCGUAGGCUAUUGUAUUCAGUACUCUCAAACAACAGCACAACAAUACAAAACAGUUCCAGAUCAGAUCGUUCGCGCUGGCCAAACGCGCGAUUGAUCUUCUUAACCUGAAGAUCACCACUACACCCGUGACUUUCAACACCACGCGUGAGAUAAUUUUAUUAUCUCUUUCCUGACCAACCAAGGGGAACUGCACAUAAUCUUGACCAUAUCAAUUUGUACCAAAUAUCACCGCUUACAACCGAUCGCGAGGAGGAACCCUGUGGCCGAUCUACCAUUUCUCUUUAUGGCACCGAAUUCCGCUCACGCUCUCAAAACGAUCAGCACGAAGGGUCACGAAGACUUGACCGUCAGACCUGAUAAAACUCUUGACCCAAUCUGCGACCACUAUCAGUGGUUGGUUAAUUAUCAAGCAGGCGAUACCGUACGAGCGUAAAAACAAAAGUGUUCAACACCAAAGUGCUACAGAAGUAAUUUUGUGAAAAUUCAUCUUUAAUUGCGCCUGACCAACGACGCAGCACAAAGGCUGAUUUCUGGGAUCUAGUGACGCGUUAACCCAAGAAGCGCAGUUGCGAGCAGAGCGAGGUCAAGUGAGGCUAGGCUGCGGCCGGAGCCGUACACCACACAGCCCGUCUACGUCUACAAAAUGGCUGGGCCGCGUGUGAGGAUGCUGUAAACCCUGAUCGGGUAAAGAGAUCGGCCCUUCUUCUUUCUUCUUGUAUUAUUCCAACCAUACAAUGGUCUUGCACAAACAAACUUCCGAUGGACGUCGCCGAACCGGAUGUCCGCGGAACUGGAGACGCCGGUUGGCACGCGAGCGCCCUCGAGGCCAAUCGAAGGCCGGGCUGACGCGGUUGCCAGGCUGCCGUGGACGCUGGGAUGCUGAGGAUUCCAGGCUGCCGUUGAAGCUGGGUUGCCAUGGGUGCCGGAAAUGGCACAAAGGCGGCGCACACCAUCGUGGGAUACACUUUUACACUACUCUGACACUCACACACCUUAGAUUUAACUAUUAAUCCUAGAUUUAAUUUUGGCCGGCGCAUUCGCCUUCUUUUUGGCCGGUUUUUUUUGGCACAUUGCCCCAUUUUCGCGAUGUUCAUCCAAAAAGUUGAAUAUAUUUGAUACAAAAAGCGCUGAAUUUUCCUAUUUCUUAAAUAAAAUUGCCGCAAGGCGGCGUGAUUAGUUCUAACAGUAAUUGUGAUUUGUAUUUUCUAAUUUUUUCGGUUUUGGGCGAUGACAAGGGGUGAAUUUCGAAGGAUCUUCAACCAGCGAACGCGAACUUCUCCAACUCGGGGCUGUGGAUUAGGAGCAGCGCAAUUCUGGUGAGUUGGUAAUUCUUUUGUUGCACAGUAUUCAUGCUUUAUAUUGGUUAGCUGGUGACAAGCUCUCACACGCAAGUGGCGCUCACAAACAUCUCUCAUUCAUCCAGCUCCACACAAACACACACAUAUUUGAAAAGUCAACAUGAAACGCGCUCACCGGGUUCUGGAGAGAAUAAUAGUUGGUCCUCAUCUGCCACCGCAGCAUCGAAUUGGAUGCAUCAAUAUAGUUAUCUAUGCCCGCUCUCACGCACACUAGCACGCCAUUUGUUUUGCUGGACGGUACAAAAUUUAACCUCACUUUUUUUCGUGUACGUACACGCAAUACAUGUACACGUAGAUAACUCUAUAUCGACUGAGCUGACGACGUCAGUCAAUCCUCAAUCGCCUGGAUUUCAGUUUCACACUGUGUGCAGCUUCCACACAACAUCACCUCUAUGCAAUUAAAUGCGACACACCGCAAAUCUUCCAGUUGAUCACAUUUCAUAACAAUCUUCAAAAUUUCAACCAGCCCGGGAGCAUGUUGACAGCUCCCAUACAAACUGAGCGUACCCCGUUUUGUGGGCCCAGUGGGCUUAAGAUGGCGGCCUUCGAUAUUAUCUAGCCAAACAUUUGAAAAUGGUGAAUAGUUUAAAUAAAUAUAGUUUUUGCCUUGUUUUGGUUUAAAACGACAAAAUAAGCAUUCUGGAAUCAUUUUCUUUAAAAACUUGUUUAGAGAUACAAAAAUCAAAUCAAAUUAUUCGCUCUACAGCAUUGCCUUGGCGUUCUCGAUUACGAGAUUCCUACUCGAAACUAGGUGUUCGCAGGCUUGAUUGUUGAGGCAAUUGCAAACCUCUUUUUACACCUUAGCUUCCAUCCAUCCCGGGAUUCGAACUGACAACCUUUGGAUUGUUAGUCCAACUGCCUACCAGCGACUCCACCGAGACAGGACCCAGGGAGACGACUCCUACACCUGGACUGAGCUAACGACCUAACCUCUAAGUUAGACCGGGACCAACAUUUACUUCCCUGUCCGACGGAAGGCGUGAUCAGACAAAUCUCGUCUCGAAAAAUGCCACCGGGACCGUCUGGGAUCGAACCCAGGCCGACUGGGUGAGAGGCAAUCACGCUUACCCCUACACCACGGUCCCGGCCACGAGAUACGCCACGUUCAAAUAUUAAUCUAGAACAGUUGAAUAAGCGUGCCGCAAAAGCCGUCACGAAAAAAAAGUUUUCUUUGCAAAUUUUGAGUUGCGUAUUUGAUGGGCGGACUCCGACGAGGCCCACUUGCCAUCUGUCGGUGAAUACGCGCAACUCACGAAAACUGUCAUCUUAGGGUUCGGUUGAUUUCAACAUAUGGUACGUUCGUUUGAUGGCAAGUUCCACACUGAGUGCCGCACUCAGAGCUGUCAAAGUGUUUUUUUUUUAAGAAACUCGCGCUAGUUCCGCACGAGUUUCGCCGCCAUCUUGGAACUGAAACUCUAGUGCCGCACUCGAUAUUUUUUCAGUUUCAUGCGAGUUCCACGCACACUGACAGAUGACGUUCGAUUGAACCAAAAAUGGCACCGACGAGUGCGGCACUCAGUGCCGCACUGGCUGUUCAAACGAACGUACCAAUAGUUGGCCAUAGAGCUAUCUAAGCCCGAUCUCACGCACACUAGCUUACCAUUUGUUUUUGCUGGCGGGUACAAAUUUUAACCUAAAAAUCCUUCGUGUACAAACACGUAAUACAUGCGCACGUAGAUAACUCUAUGAACACUCUCCUUCAUCACACACACUUGACAAUCUGUGGUUACACCACACGCGAAAACUGUCACCUUAGGUUAGGGUUGGGUUACACUCAAUUUCCUCACACACUUCUCAUGUGAACUCACUCACACUUCGGCAAAAGCCCAUUGCCGUUCAAGAGCCAAACGACAUGCGACACCUAGUGUUGAGUAGCAGAACAAAGCGAAGAAUGUCGAAUGAAAUUUCCGCCCUUUGAGGUUAUGUAUGCGAAUUCUGUUUUGUUAAAUUCCAGCGUUGAAAACAACUUUAGAGCAAAAAAUCGAGCUGAUACUUUGUUAACUUUUGAUACUAUACCAUUUAAAACAAUAUUAUUUUUUCAAAAUAUUUUUUUUUUUCAAUUUUUUUUAUUGCGUUAAUUUAUAGAGGGCAAAAAGUUUACACUCGUACUACUUGAAUUUUUUCUCAAAAGUUGUUCUUAGAGCUGUAAAUUCAAUUUUAAGUUUGCAUUCCUAUGUAACCGAACAGCGAAAAUUUGAAUCGUCAUUCUUCGAUGCUUUGCGCCAUCUGUCGGAAUUUUUGAGCUUUUGAUCGCGAAUUGAGGGCAGAAGCCCACCACUGCUGUACCGCCAUAUUGGAAUUUAUGCUCCACAAGCUCCGAAAACACUUUUCACUUUGAAAUAAAAUGCAUUUUCCAUCGUAUUUAACAAAAAUCUUCAGAAUUUUCGUACUCACUCCGAACCGACGCAUCGAGUAGUACACUUUAUACUGCGUUUUUCUUUAUGAGCAAUUCUCUACGAAAUCGAUCAUUUUUCUUCAAUUUUAAUUUUUGUAUUUUUUUAUCCUACUGAAACUUUUUUUGUGCCUUCGGUCCCGCCCGUGUGGAUCAAUCGGACCGCGCACUAGACUCACAAUCCAGAGGUCGCCGGUUCGAAUCCCGCGGCGGGCGCUCUGAAAUUCUUUGUGUAAAUAUGGGUAUUCGGCGCCGUCGCUCCGUGCCAUACUUUCAUACACUUAGGAGCCCAGGGCGGCGAAGUCCUUGUAGAUAAAAGGAAGACACUAGUGGUUGGUACUAGCAAUGGUGGCCGACAGCUAUAAAGUCAACUUCGUUUCGUAUGCCCAAAGAAGCCAUUUUGCAUCAUUAGUUUGUCCAUAUAAUUUUCCAUACAAAUUUGGCAGCUGUCCAUACAAAAAUGAUGUAUGAAAAUUCAAAAAUCUGUAUCUUUUGAAGGAAUUUUUUGAUCGAUUUGGUGUCUUCGGCAAAGUUGUAGGUAUGGAUAAGGACCACACUGGAAAAAAAUGAUACACGGUAAAAAAAAUUUGGUGAUUUUUUAUUUAACUUUUUAUCACAAAAACUUGAUUUACAAAAAAACACUAUUUUUAAUUUUUUUUUUAUUUUUUGAUAUGUUUUAGAGGACAUAAAAUGCCAACUUUUCAGAAAUUUCCAGGUUGUGCAAAAAAUCAUUGACCGAGUUAUGAAUUUUUUAAUCAAUACUGAUUUUUUCAAAAAAUCGAAAUUUUGGUCGCAAAAACUUUUUAACUUCAUUUUUCAAUAUAAAAUUGAAUUUGCAAUCAAAAAGUACUUUAGUAAAAUUUUGAUAAUGUGCACCGUUUUCAAGUUAUAGCCAUUUAUAGGUGACUUUUUUGAAAAUAGUCACAGUUUUUCAUUGUUUAAAAUUAGUGCACAUGUUUGCACACUUUUGGAAAAAAUAUUUUUGAAAAGCUGAGAAAAUUCUCUAUAUUUUGCUUCUUCGGACUUUGUUGAUACGACCCUUAGUUGUUGAGAUGUUGCCAUGCAAAGGUUUAAAAACAGGAAAAUUGAUGUUUUCUAAGUCUCACUUAAACAGCCCACCAUUUUUCAAUGUCGAUAUCUCAGUAACUAAUGGUCCGAUUUUCAAUGUUAAAACAUGAAACAUUUGUGAAAUUUUCCGAUCUUCUCGAAAAAAAUAUUUUCAAAAUUUUCAA